Molecule: small nuclear RNA, 200 nt
Gene: U2
Rfam family: U2 spliceosomal RNA
About the family: U2 is a small nuclear RNA (snRNA) component of the spliceosome (involved in pre-mRNA splicing). Complementary binding between U2 snRNA (in an area lying towards the 5' end but 3' to hairpin I) and the branchpoint sequence (BPS) of the intron results the bulging out of an unpaired adenosine, on the BPS, which initiates a nucleophilic attack at the intronic 5' splice site, thus starting the first of two transesterification reactions that mediate splicing.
Source: Ensembl
AUCACUUCUCGGCCUUUUGGCUAAGAUCAAGUGUAGUAUCUGUUCUUAACAGUUUAAAAUAGUAUGUUCCAGACCCUGGCUGCUGAAAUGUAUCUCUCAAUCUCUAAAAUCCCUGUGGGUUGCUGAAUCAUAAGGGCUUGGUUCCUGUUGCAUUUUAAAUUUUGUCUUUGUUUCUGACACCGGAAGAUGACUCACUCUUU